RNAcentral lists this ribosomal RNA (480 nucleotides) under Phyllium maethoraniae. RNAcentral describes it as "partial large subunit ribosomal RNA". The stretch from base 344 to 480 matches the Rfam family "Bacterial large subunit ribosomal RNA", at positions 2473 to 2610 of the family's 2925-position model. The record is from RNAcentral. Lineage: Eukaryota; Metazoa; Arthropoda; Insecta; Phasmatodea; Phylliidae.
UUUAUUUAAUGGCCGCGGUAUUUUGACUGUGCAAAGGUAGCAUAAUCAUUAGCUUAUUAAUUGUGAGAUGGUAUGAAUGGUUGGACGAGAUAUUAACUGUCUUCACAUUUAUUAAUUGAAUUUAAUUUUUGAGUUAAAAAGCUUAAAUUUUUUUAAAGGACGAGAAGACCCUAUAGAUCUUUAUUUAUAACUUUUUAUUAAUUUUUGGUUUAUAUUUAUUUACUUAUUUAUUUAUUUUUUUUGUUGGGGCGACAUUUAGAUAUAAUAAACUCUUUAUUUUUUUUUUCAUUUAUUUUUGUUUAUAUUAUUUUUUAUUAUUUUUAUAAGAAAUAGAUACCUUAGGGAUAACAGCGUAAUUCUUUUUGAGAGUUCUUAUUGACACUUGAGAUUGCGACCUCGAUGUUGAAUUAAGAUUAUAUUUUGGUGUAGUAGCUAUUUUUAUAGGUCUGUUCGACCUUUAAAUUCUUACAUGAUCUGAGU